Molecule: long non-coding RNA, 696 nt
Organism: Sinocyclocheilus rhinocerous
Lineage: Eukaryota; Metazoa; Chordata; Actinopteri; Cypriniformes; Cyprinidae
Exons: 3
Source: RefSeq, a predicted model, not a curated record
UGGACAGCGCUCGGGCGGUUGGCGACACUAGGAUGUGACUGGAGCAGAGAUGGAAGGAAGUGACGUAGGAUCAGGAAGUGAGCUGGACAUAGAGGAUGAAUGUAUUGGCGGGGAGAAAGGAGGUAAAAAUGGAAAUUGGAACAUAGUAGAAAAUCGGAAAAGGAAAAAAAAAUGGAAUCAACUUUCUGGUUCGGAAAGUGAAAGGGAAAGACAACAGGAGAAAAGGAAAAAGGAAGAGUUUAAGGUAAUGAUACAUUUCUUGUCCGAUAAUAUGAAUGCAUUGAACCCACUGAAAAUAACUAAAGCGAUCAAAGAAGAGAUCGGGAAAAUCGAACAUGCGAAAAUGUUACGGAAUGGAAAGUUGCUACUUUUUUGUAAAGAUAGCAGACAACAAAAACAGGUACUAGGCUUAAAGACAUUAGCAGGGAAAAAAAUUUCGUGUACACUGUUGGAAGAGAAGAAAUGGAUGAAGGGAGUAAUAACAGGGGUCCCAACAGAUGUAUCAGAAGACACAAUCAAGAGAAGUUUAUCAGGAGCAAAAGUGGUAGGGGUCAAACGUCUGAAAUAUGUUAGAGAUAAAGAAAAGCUGGAUAGCUUAUCUGUAAUGGUGCAGUUUGAUGAGGAAAGAUUACCAGAAAGAGUAUUCUUUGGGUUUAUAAGCUAUGCUGUUAGACAGUAUGUUCCUCCUCCGCUUAG